CCUACGGGGGGCAGCAGUGGGGAAUAUUGCGCAAUGGGCGAAAGCCUGACGCAGCGACGCCGCGUGAGGGAUGAAGGUCUUCGGAUCGUUAACCUCUGUCAGCAGGGAAGAACGGUCACUGUGCUAAUCAGCAGUGAAUUGACGGUACCUGCAAAGGAAGCACCGGCUAACUCCGUGCCAGCAGCCGCGGUAGUACGGAGGGUGCGUGCGUUAAUCGGAAUUACUGGGCGUAAAGCGCUCGUAGGCGGUAUGUCAAGUCAAGGGUGAAAUCCCCGCGCUCAACGUGGGAACUGCCGUUGAAACUGGCAAACUGGAGUGUGUGAGAGGAUAGUGGAAUUCGAGGUGUAGGAGUGAAAUCCGUAGAUAUCGGGAGGAACAUCAGUGGCGAAGGCGACUAUCUGGCACAUAACUGACGCUGAGGAGCGAAAGCGUGGGUAGCAAACAGGAUUAGAUACCCGAGUAGUC
RNAcentral lists this ribosomal RNA (465 nucleotides) under uncultured bacterium. Its description in RNAcentral is "partial 16S ribosomal RNA". It matches the Rfam family "Bacterial small subunit ribosomal RNA", at positions 338 to 795 of the family's 1533-position model. The record is from RNAcentral.